GAUGAACGCUGGCGGCGUGCCUAAUACAUGCAAGUCGAGCGAAGCGGGGACGGGUGAGUAACACGUGGAUAACCUCCUAUAAGACUGGGAUAACUUAGGGAAACCGGAGCUAAACCGGAUACGUAUAGAUGGCACUGCGCUGCAUUAGCUAGUUGGUAAGGUAACGGCUUACCAAGGCAACGAUGCAUAGCCGACCUGAGAGGGUGCUCGGCCACACGGGAACUGGGACACGGUCCCGACUCCUACGGUAGGCAGCAGUAGGGAAUCGUCCGCAAUGGGCGAAAGCCUGACGGAGCAACGCCGCGUGAUGGAUGAAGGUCUUCGGAUCGUAAAACUCUGUUAUUAGGGAAGCGGUACCUAAUCAGAAAGGCACGGCUGACUACGUGCCAGCAGCCGCGGUAAUAC
RNAcentral lists this ribosomal RNA (405 nucleotides) under uncultured bacterium. RNAcentral's name for it is "partial 16S ribosomal RNA". It matches the Rfam family "Bacterial small subunit ribosomal RNA", at positions 28 to 526 of the family's 1533-position model. The record is from RNAcentral.